Molecule: ribosomal RNA, 492 nt
Filed under: uncultured bacterium
Lineage: Bacteria
Description: partial 16S ribosomal RNA
Rfam family: Bacterial small subunit ribosomal RNA
Source: RNAcentral
GAUGAACGCUAGCUACAGGCUUAACACAUGCAAGUCGAGGGGAAACGACAUCGAAAGCUUGCUUUUGAUGGGCGUCGACCGGCGCACGGGUGAGUAACGCGUAUCCAACCUGCCCAUCACUUGGGAAUAACCUUGCGAAAGUAAGACUAAUACCCAAUGAUAUCCCACGAAGGCAUCGGAAUGGGAUUAAAGAUUUAUCGGUGAUGGAUGGGGAUGCGUCUGAUUAGCUUGUUGGCGGGGUAACGGCCCACCAAGGCAACGAUCAGUAGGGGUUCUGAGAGGAAGGUCCCCCACAUUGGAACUGAGACACGGACCAAAAUCCUACGGGAGGGAGCAGUGAGGAAUAUUGGUCAAUGAGCGAGAGCCUGAACCAGCCAAGUAGCGUGCAGGAAGACGGCGCUAUGGGUUGUAAACUGCUUUUAUAAGGGAAUAAAGUGGGUAACGUGUGACUUUUUGCAUGUACCUUAUGAAUAAGGACCGGCUAAUUCCGUG